RNAcentral lists this ribosomal RNA (587 nucleotides) under uncultured Fomes. RNAcentral describes it as "eukaryotic LSU rRNA". It matches the Rfam family "Eukaryotic large subunit ribosomal RNA", at positions 66 to 636 of the family's 3401-position model. Lineage: Eukaryota; Fungi; Basidiomycota; Agaricomycetes; Polyporales; Polyporaceae. The record is from RNAcentral.
UAACAAGGAUUCCCCUAGUAACUGCGAGUGAAGCGGGAAAAGCUCAAAUUUAAAAUCUGGCGGUCUUUGGCCGUCCGAGUUGUAGUCUGGAGAAGUGCUUUCCGCGCUGGACCGUGUACAAGUCUCUUGGAACAGAGCGUCAUAGAGGGUGAGAAUCCCGUCUUUGACACGGACUACCAGUGCUUUGUGAUGCGCUCUCAAAGAGUCGAGUUGUUUGGGAAUGCAGCUCUAAAUGGGUGGUAAAUUCCAUCUAAAGCUAAAUAUUGGCGAGAGACCGAUAGCGAACAAGUACCGUGAGGGAAAGAUGAAAAGCACUUUGGAAAGGGAGUUAAACAGUACGUGAAAUUGCUGAAAGGGAAACGCUUGAAGUCAGUCGCGUUGGCCGGGACUCAGCCUUGCUUUUUCCUUGGUGCAUUUUCCGGUCGACGGGCCAGCAUCGAUUUUGACCGUCGGAAAAGGGCUAGGGAAAUGUGGCACCUUCGGGUGUGUUAUAGUCUCUAGUCGCAUGCGGCGGUUGGGAUCGAGGAAGGCAGCGCGCCGCAAGGCAGGGGUUCGCCCACUUUCGCGCUUAGGAUGCUGGCGUAAUA